CACCUCUCAGAUCAGUUGAUCGGCGCCUCUUAUCCUGUGUGUUCGCACCGCUCCUGGCCACGAGUGUCCCCUGCCAGCAGGCUGUGUGAGUACUCAGCCUUUGGCCAACCUUGCAUCGGGCUUCCUCUUCUGUGCUACCGCCUCCUCUUCUGUGCUACCGUGCUGCUAUUCAACACCAAGUCGUGUUCAAACCAGACCUAUGGUACUUGGAACUUGAGCCAACCAAUCAGACACCUCUUAGAUCAGUUGAUCUGCGCCUCUUAUCCUGUGUCUCUACGCACCGCUCCUGCCCACGAGUGUUCCUCGCCAGCAGGACAUCUGAGUGUUCAGCCUUUGGCCAGCCUUCCGUCGUUCCUCCUCUUCUGUGCCACCGCCAGUAUCUAAAACACCCGUGCCGCUCCUCAACACCAAGGCAGGAAUACAAAAGCAUGAAGAGGCUACCUACAAAAGGCCAGUUGACCUACACAAGGCUGCAUUAGUGAAGGCAUGGCUAGGAGAAGGUGUCAUUACCGUGUGAUUCAUGAUGGGAACACUCGUGAUCACCAGCCUCGGGUGGAGAACGGGAGUGAGAACGGCGCUUUCUUGGUGACCGGGAUCUGUGCCUUCUUGAGCUGGGUGACCGGGAGCGACUGCGGUGCCGAGACCUUUGGAAGAAACCAGACACUGUAGACCAAACAUCAGGAAAAAAUAAAAAUAGGUUAAGAGAUAAAUAUGCAACAGAAAAGAGCUGUAGAACUGACCUUCCUCAUCAUCUUAUGGCGGUAGUGGGCUACUUGGCGGUGGAUGGAGUAACCAGGCUUGAGAGAGCGCAGGCCUUGCUCCAGCUCAUCCUGGUAUUGCAACACCCGGAUUUCCACUUCACGCAGCCUUGCCCGCCGCUCCUCACUCACAUCACUGCAGGGAAAACGUGUCCAAAAACAUGAAGCUUUCAGGCCAAUCAUCAUCCUACUUCACCACCAACUCAACCAAAUCAUUAUCAUAAGUACAUACAAUCACAUUAUCACAGUGAGUAGAGGACAAGGUUGACUCAACAAACAAAAGCUAUCAGACAAUGAGGAAAAGUGCCACUCAACUGAAUGGAAGUAUAAAAUCUUUACAAAUCAUGAGCAAGAAAUCAACACUCAAUUUUAGAAUGCAAAAGUGUAAAAAGAUGAGACCACAUAGUUGAUUAUUAUUGCAACAUGAUUACUGCAGCAGUAGCCAAAGCACCUAAAUUAUCAUUCUUGCAAUAUGAUACAGAAGAAUGAUUGUGCAAGCCAAUAAAGAAAUCAAAUACAAGUUAA
Molecule: long non-coding RNA, 1283 nt
Organism: Scylla paramamosain (green mud crab)
Lineage: Eukaryota; Metazoa; Arthropoda; Malacostraca; Decapoda; Portunidae
Exons: 5
Source: RefSeq, a predicted model, not a curated record